Molecule: ribosomal RNA, 484 nt
Filed under: uncultured bacterium
Lineage: Bacteria
Description: partial 16S ribosomal RNA
Rfam family: Bacterial small subunit ribosomal RNA
Source: RNAcentral
AUUGAACGCUGGCGGCAGGCCUAACACAUGCAAGUCGAGCGGACGAAGGGAGCUUUCUCCUGGAUUCAGCGGCGGACGGGCGAGUAAUGCCUAGGAAGCUGACUGGUAGUGAGGGAUAACGUCCGGUAACGGGCGCUAAUACCGCAUACGACCUGAGUGAGAAAGUGGGGGAUCUUCGGACCUCACGCUAUCAGAUGAGCCUAGGACGGAUUAGCUAGUUGGUGGGGUAAAGGCUUACCAAGGCGACGAUCCGUAACUGGCCUGAGAGGAUGAUCAGCCACACUGGAACUGAGACACGGUCCAGACUCCUACGGGAGGCAGCAGUGGGGAAUAUUGGGCAAUGGGCGAAAGCCUGAUCCAGCCAUGCCGCGUGUGUGAAGAAGGUCUUCGGAUUGUAAAGCACUUUAAGUUGGGAGGAAGGGCAGUAAGUUAAUCCCUUGCUGUUUUGACGUUACCAACAGAGUAAGCACCGGCUAACUUCGUG